UAUGGAGAGUUUGAUCCUGGCUCAGGAUGAACGCUGGCGGCGUGCCUAAUACAUGCAAGUCGAGCGAACGGACGAGAAGCUUGCUUCUCUGAUGUUAGCGGCGGACGGGUGAGUAACACGUGGAUAACCUACCUAUAAGACUGGGAUAACUUCGGGAAACCGGAGCUAAUACCGGAUAAUAUUUUGAACCGCAUGGUUCAAAAGUGAAAGACGGUCUUGCUGUCACUUAUAGAUGGAUCCGCGCUGCAUUAGCUAGUUGGUAAGGUAACGGCUUACCAAGGCAACGAUGCAUAGCCGACCUGAGAGGGUGAUCGGCCACACUGGAACUGAGACACGGUCCAGACUCCUACGGGAGGCAGCAGUAGGGAAUCUUCCGCAAUGGGCGAAAGCCUGACGGAGCAACGCCGCGUGAGUGAUGAAGGUCUUCGGAUCGUAAAACUCUGUUAUUAGGGAAGAACAUAUGUGUAAGUAACUGUGCACAUCUUGACGGUACCUAAUCAGAAAGCCACGGCUAACUACGUGCCAGCAGCCGCGGUAAUACGUAGGUGGCAAGCGUUAUCCGGAAUUAUUGGGCGUAAAGCGCGCGUAGGCGGUUUUUUAAGUCUGAUGUGAAAGCCCACGGCUCAACCGUGGAGGGUCAUUGGAAACUGGAAAACUUGAGUGCAGAAGAGGAAAGUGGAAUUCCAUGUGUAGCGGUGAAAUGCGCAGAGAUAUGGAGGAACACCAGUGGCGAAGGCGACUUUCUGGUCUGUAACUGACGCUGAUGUGCGAAAGCGUGGGGAUCAAACAGGAUUAGAUACCCUGGUAGUCCACGCCGUAAACGAUGAGUGCUAAGUGUUAGGGGGUUUCCGCCCCUUAGUGCUGCAGCUAACGCAUUAAGCACUCCGCCUGGGGAGUACGACCGCAAGGUUGAAACUCAAAGGAAUUGACGGGGACCCGCACAAGCGGUGGAGCAUGUGGUUUAAUUCGAAGCAACGCGAAGAACCUUACCAAAUCUUGACAUCCUUUGACAACUCUAGAGAUAGAGCUUUCCCCUUCGGGGGACAAAGUGACAGGUGGUGCAUGGUUGUCGUCAGCUCGUGUCGUGAGAUGUUGGGUUAAGUCCCGCAACGAGCGCAACCCUUAAGCUUAGUUGCCAUCAUUAAGUUGGGCACUCUAAGUUGACUGCCGGUGACAAACCGGAGGAAGGUGGGGAUGACGUCAAAUCAUCAUGCCCCUUAUGAUUUGGGCUACACACGUGCUACAAUGGACAAUACAAAGGGCAGCGAAACCGCGAGGUCAAGCAAAUCCCAUAAAGUUGUUCUCAGUUCGGAUUGUAGUCUGCAACUCGACUACAUGAAGCUGGAAUCGCUAGUAAUCGUAGAUCAGCAUGCUACGGUGAAUACGUUCCCGGGUCUUGUACACACCGCCCGUCACACCACGAGAGUUUGUAACACCCGAAGCCGGUGGAGUAACCUUUUAGGAGCUAGCCGUCGAAGGUGGGACAAAUGAUUGGGGUGAAGUCGUAACAAGGUAGCCGUAUCGGAAGGUGCGGCUGGAUCACCUCCUUU
RNAcentral lists this ribosomal RNA (1550 nucleotides) under Staphylococcus aureus subsp. aureus ST772-MRSA-V. RNAcentral describes it as "16S ribosomal RNA". It matches the Rfam family "Bacterial small subunit ribosomal RNA". Lineage: Bacteria; Bacillati; Bacillota; Bacilli; Caryophanales; Staphylococcaceae. The record is from RNAcentral.